This 254-nucleotide ribosomal RNA is filed under the name uncultured bacterium. Its description in RNAcentral is "partial 16S ribosomal RNA". It matches the Rfam family "Bacterial small subunit ribosomal RNA", at positions 524 to 776 of the family's 1533-position model. The record is from RNAcentral.
UACGUAGGGAGCGAGCGUUGUCCGGAAUUAUUGGGCGUAAAGAGCGUGUAGGCGGUUUGUCGCGUCUGGCGUGAAAACCUGCAGCUUAACUGUGGGCGUGCGGUCGAUACGGGCAUCACUGGAGUUCGGCAGGGGAGACUGGAAUUCCUGGUGUAGCGGUGAAAUGCGCAGAUAUCAGGAGGAACACCGGUGGCGAAGGCGGGUCUCUGGGCCGAUACUGACGCUGAGGAGCGAAAGCGUGGGGAGCGAACAGG